ACAGCCCGAAAAAUACCACCUGCGUGGGAAGGACCUGAAGGACCUGAAGCCUGGUUUUUACUAUCUUGCACAUGCAACAGGAACAAAUGAGUCUCAUGCUGAAAACAUCAUUAGAGAAGAAGCCAAGUUACAUUUCACAAACUGUUUUACAUUAUCUACAAGAAAGGUCUGUGUAAGAGGGUUUAGGGGAAGGAGAGAAUAUUU
Molecule: long non-coding RNA, 204 nt
Organism: Neopelma chrysocephalum (saffron-crested tyrant-manakin)
Lineage: Eukaryota; Metazoa; Chordata; Aves; Passeriformes; Pipridae
Exons: 3
Source: RefSeq, a predicted model, not a curated record